CCUUUCUCAAAGGUUUCUGACAGGGAAGAAUGGUGCCAGGGUGUGUUGGUAAAUGUUUAACAACCAGCGUUCUGAACAAAGAAAAAGGCUUGUUAUGUAAUGUUUGCCAACUUCUUUGAUGUGGACACCCCCGACUUGGCUGAUUUAAAACUACCAAGGUGACAUCACCAUCCUGGCGUGGCAGUGGUGCACAGCAGUGAGUCCUGGAGGUCAUCACACGAUCUGGAGACAGCAGCUAAGAGCUCAAGAGCAGAGAGAGAGUGGUGAAGAAACUGAGGGAGCAGAUGAUUUGUUGAGGUCAAACCCUAUGAAGUAACAUAGAAGAAUUUAAACUCAGGAAAUGUAUUUUGUCACAAGGGUGCAAAGCUGCCCAAUACGGAUAGCGUCCUAUCCUGCAGGGGGACGUGAGUUCACCUACUGCUGAGUCCCACUCCAGUCUGAUCCCCUACUAAAGGAAUCGUGGGGAUUCCCCCUUAUGACUUCCUCUAAUCCUAAUCACCUCCUGAAGGCCUCACCUCCAAAUAUCAUAACCCUGUAACUUUGGAGAUGAGGUUUCCGCUUGAGUUUGGAGAGGACCAACAGUGGGAUAGCUCUGAAGGCAGCUGGGUGCCCAAGUUUACCACAUGAACGCUGUACACAGCAAUACUCCUUCUAAGCCCCUUCUUUGGAUGGCAGUGAUCCCACUGAACUUUCUGGGGACUUCUCAGGUUCCCAGAGUGCAGACUGGUUGUGCUGAGAAGUUGAGGAAGACCAGGACUGGCAAACCAUCCUUCGGCACUAAAAGAAACAGCGCUUCAAAAUGGCAGCCUUAGGUGAACAAUUGCAAAAGAUCCUAGUUUCCUCAUAAAAGAAGUAAGACUAUUUGUGUAGGAUUUGUAGCCUACCUAUUACUGGACUAAAAAUGAGAAAUCUUUUUGUUGUAAUGAAGACCUUAUAGAGAGGGCUAGUGAGUAAUCAAAUAGGUUAUUAAUUUGAACCAUUAAAAAUACACAUAUAUAACUUAAACAUUAUAUUUUAAUUUAAAACCCAUAAAUAUGUACUGAUUUACCCUUGGUUUUUUUCUUUUUUUCCUUCUCUUUUCUUUCUUUCUUUUUUUUUUGAGACAUGGUCUUGUUGUGUAGUCCAAGCUGCUUGAUCUUGAGGUACUCCUCCUGCCUCAGCCUCCUAAAUUCUCAGAUUAGAGCCGUGCAGCACCAUGCCUUGCUUUACUUAUCUUUCUAUGUGUAGCUGAGGUCUCUUCUUUGAGCAUAAAUCAGCUAAUUGUGGUUCUCUAUCAUUUUCAUGUAUAAAGUAUCCCCAUGUUUUCUCUAUGAUUUCCAGUUUCAGUUUCAGCUUUAAAAUGCAGGAAGGACUUCAGGAUUUAUGGACUCUUCAUGACUCUCUUAUAACCGCAAAACUCUCCCAGAGUGCUUUUCUACUUUCCUUCUUCACAAGACAACAUUUACAGGAUUUAUCUUUCUGAUUCAACUUACUUUUUUUUUAAAAAAAACACAGUGGCUAUUUUUUCACAUCCACAUUUUGGCCAUAAGAGUUAUUUACGGAAGUUGUGUAACUGCAAUGAAGAAAGCUAGCUAAGCAGGUUGGGGAGCUGAAUCUUUUGUGAAUGCACAGCUCAGUGAAGUGUGCCACCUCCCAGUGGGGAGGACCAGCUGCUCACACUUACCAAUCAGGCUGUGUCAAGGAGGGAAAGGGCAAUGCAGGUUGAGUUUGUGCACCAGCUCAUUGCAGUGUACUGAGAGAGCUUCCACUGCACUCCUCAAUAUGAUAGAGUUUGAUUAGCUGGACUUUUCGCUAGUGUAUAUACCCAAACCUAAUACAUAUAAUUAAAAUGAAUAAUGAUGUCCAACAUUUAAUGAAUACUUUCCAUGCUUACAGGCCGAGAUAAAUGCUUUAUAUGCAGACUUAUGUAUUUGAUGACAUUUAUUUAAUUUACUUAUUUAUACUAGGGACUGAGCCAAGAGCCUUUGCAUUGAGUUACACCCAUAGUCCUUUUUAUUUUGAAACAGGGUCAGCCUGGCUAAAGUUGCCCAGGAUGUUCUCAAACUUGUGAUCCUCCUGCCUCGGCCUCCCAGAGUGUUGGGAUGACAGAUGUGUACCACCACACCUGGCUUUGUCCCCAUUUUAUAAGUGAACACAUCGAGACAUAGGGAGGUUAUGACCCUAGCCCAAAGUCACCCAACCAGUGUAUGCACAUGCUCUUAAUGAAAUCCAUCAAUGCCCAAAAUAUUUAAUCUUUGCACCAAACUGUCUCAUAUUGCUGCAAUAAAUGUGAAGGGAGAUGACAUGUAGAAGCUGUCAGACAAUCACUGUAAAUUGGAUUUCUCCAGACAAAUACUUUAUAGUUAUUCCCUUUAAAAUUCAAUAUAAACAAUUCUUUUAAUUCUUUGGGGAAGAUACCCAGCUGGGGAAUAGCUGGGUCAAAUGGGACCACUAGCCCUAGUUCUUUGAGGUAUUUCCAUACUGAUUUCCACAGUGGUUGCACCAGUCUGCACUCCCACCAACAAUGGAGAUGGGUUCCUUCCUCUCCACUACCCCGCCAGAAUUUGUUAUUGGUUGAUUUCUUGAUAGCAGCCAUUCUUUCUAGGGUAAAGUGGAAUCUCAG
Molecule: non-coding RNA, 2602 nt
Organism: Heterocephalus glaber (naked mole-rat)
Lineage: Eukaryota; Metazoa; Chordata; Mammalia; Rodentia; Bathyergidae
Source: RefSeq, a predicted model, not a curated record